CUUUUAUCCUUGAAAAGAGAUCUUUCCCCUUAUUUCUUUGAGUUUAUGUAUGUUGGUUUCUCAUCUGCUAGUGGGUCUAAAUGUUCUCACUACAUCUUGGGUUGGAGUUUCAGGAUGAAUGGUCAAGCUGAGGAGAUUAACCUGUCUACCCUUCCUGAGAUUCCUGGUGUUACAAGAGACAAUGAAGACGAUGCGGGGGAUGGAUAUAGAAAAGUGCAGAAGAUGUUGGCAGUUGUAUUAUCUUUAAUUGGGGGUAUUUUUCUUCUACUCUUGAUUUUUGGAGCACUUAUGAUUUCAAGGAGGAGAAAAUUCAUUCGGGUACUUGAGGAUUGGGAAGUGCUUUAUGGACCUCACAGGUUCUCCUAUAAGGACCUAUUUAUUGCUACUCAAGGCUUCAGAGAUCGACAACUUCUUGGAAAAGGAGGUUUUGGCAGGGUAUACCGAGGCAUUCUACCAUUCUCAAAUGUUCAAAUUGCAGUAAAGAGAAUUUCUCAUGAUUCCAGUCAAGGAAUGAGAGAAUUCGUAGCUGAAAUCGCAACCAUCGGCCGUCUCAGGCACCCAAACCUGGUUCGACUUCUGGGAUAUUGCAGGCGCAAGAAUGAACUUUUCUUAGUUUAUGACUAUAUGCCUAAUGGAAGUCUUGAUAAGUUCCUUUAUCGAGUACCCAAUUGCAUGCUAGACUGGAAACAGAGAUUCAAAAUCAUCAAAGAUGUGGCAUCUGCACUCUUCUAUCUGCACCAACAAUGGGUUCAAGUUAUAAUCCACAGAGAUAUCAAGCCUGCCAAUGUACUCAUCGACAAUGAGAUGAAUGCCAGGCUAGGAGAUUUUGGUCUUGCCAGGUUAUGUGACCAUGGAAACGAUCCUCAAACCUCUCAUGUAGCUGGUACUCCAGGUUAUAUUGACCCUGAGAUUGUGCAGAGGGGAAAAUCAACCACAUGCACUGAAUAUAUAUGCAUUUGGGGUGUUUAUGCUUGAGGUUACUUGUGGCAGAAAGCCUGUGGAUCCUCGGACUUCGCCGGAGAAAGUAGUGUUGAUCGAUUGGGUAAUGAAUUGCUGGGAUCGAGGAGCUAUUUUGGAGACAGUUGAUUGCAGAC
RNAcentral lists this unclassified non-coding RNA (1094 nucleotides) under Hevea brasiliensis (rubber tree). Lineage: Eukaryota; Viridiplantae; Streptophyta; Magnoliopsida; Malpighiales; Euphorbiaceae. The record is from RNAcentral.